CAGGAUUUCUGCUGUAGACCGCCUCCUUCUGUGAUGUAUGUAUGAUGGUUUUUUAGGGGUGGUCUUGAGCUACAGGGUGGGCAAUUUCAAGAGCAGGCGGUUGGACUAGGUGGGGUUGGAGUCUAUGACUCCCCCUUGAAGAAAACCCUACUCUAAACACUACCCCUCAUUACCCCUCUGGGAUAGAACAGGAGACUCUUAGGGCCGUGGGUUCGAGACCCAAGUUGGGCAACAGAAAACCAGGAAUCCGGUCUGAAAAUUGUGAUGCUUCCUUUCUGCUCCAGGUAAGUUUUCCGGAGAGGUGGAGGAGGAAAGCGUGCCGAGGAGGGAGGAGGCCACACGACAUCGGGAGAGGAAAGUGGGUGUCGGUGUGCGCAGCUCUGCAUUUUUGGCACUCCACGCCCCCUAUUCGGGAGAGAAAAGGCAGUUCACGCUCCGGCAAACACAACAGAAGAGAGGAUUAAAGAGGUGGGCGGAGAAGGAAAAAGCGAGCCCGGCAGGCAAGGGGAAUGAGUGGAGUGGAAAUGGGGGGGGGGCGGAGGAGGAUGCGAGGCGGUGGGGUGGGCUGGGGUUAGUGAAUGAGGAAUCUAUGGGGUGGGAUUGCGGAGCAGCAAGCGGAGCUCGCAAAGGGGCUGCACCCAUUUUCCGGAGGAAUUAAUCCGGAUUACCUCCUGCGCAACCCCCAUGUUGGCAGGGCUGAAUGCAGAGUAGAAUUGACGGCAGACUGAAACUGAACUGCAAAUAAAUAAUAAUAAUAAUAAAAAAAAAUAAUGUCAUGUCUUUUGACACUGGGCCCGAUUCCCUCUUAGGAUUUGGUUGCUGGACUCGGGUGGCGCUGUGAGUUAAACCAGAGAGCCUAGGGCUUGCCGAUCAGAAGGUCAGCGGUUUGAAUCCCCGCGACGGGGUGAGCUCCCGUUGCUCAGUCCCUGCUCCUGCCAACCUAGCAGUUCGAAAGCACACCAGUGCAUGUAGAUAAAUAGGUACCACUCCGGCGGGAAGGAAAACAGCGUUUCCCUGCUCUGCUCUGGUUCGCCAGAAGCGGCUUAGUCAUGCUGGCCACAUGACCUGGAAGCUGUACGCCGGCUCCCUCAGCCAGUAAAGCGAGAUGAGUGCCGCAACCCCAGAGUCGGUCACGACUGGACCUAACGGUCAGGGGUCCCUUUACUUAUUCCUCUGCAGGGAGGGAGGCAAAUUGGGAAAGCCUUCCCAUUGUCUUUUUGCUUGCAAAUCCUGUCUUAAGGGCGUAUUUGUGGGUGAAAAGGGUGAGCCUGUGACCUGGAUUCAGGAACUGAGUAUUUACCAUCACAAAAGAAUGGCCAGGCUGUCCAGGUAAUGCAACCAGUGACCAUUAUCAGGUAUCCUGGCAAACAGGAUUUCUGCUGUAGACCGCCUCCUUCUGUGAUGUAUGUAUGAUGUUCUUUUAGGGGUGGUCUUGAGCUACAGGGCGGGCAAUUUCAAGAGUCUAUAUAAGGGCUUGCACACCAUUGUUCUGGGUUCCUCCUCCUUUCCUGCGUGUGGGGAGUGAGGACCCUGUUGCAACAAAUCGAUAAAGAUCAGGCUUACGAACUGCUUUGCUUCUCAAUAUUCUCUGGUUGGCCUCUGCUAUAUUCUCCUACUGAUAGGGAACCCACUUAAGGGCUCUAUAUGGGCUCUUGGAUACCCCAUAAGGGAAAAGAAGCAGUUUUCUUAUAACAAAAGUAUUAUUGUUAGUAUAUAAAGCCCUUUACACAUUGUGACCAGUUUACCUGCAAGAUUGCCUUUCCCCUCUUGGCUGCUUCGAUCGACAGAACCACCACUGUUCCACAUUUCCCAGAACUUGAUAUUUUAGCUCAGCAGCAGUUAUACUUUGGAACUCCCUGCCUCUUGAGAUCAAGCAGGCGCCUUCACUGUACUCUUUUCAGAGCCUGCUAAAAACAUUGGCGUUUAGGCAAGCCUAUCCAUUUGCUUAGAAAGUUUGGCGCAAGUUUUAAUCUGCUUUUAAGUUGAUUGUUAAUUUAGCAUUUUGAAAAGUUUUAGAUUAUUGUUGCUAAUUCCCCUUAUGGGUGAUGUGAUGGCUUUAUCUUUUGUAAUCCACUUUGAGGUUUUUAAGCAGUGUACAUUUUAUGAAAUAAAUGAUAAAAUAAUAAAGAUGGCAUUGUUACUAUUACCAUUGAUCUAUUAGGUGCCUUCCAAGCCACCGUCAAGGCGAUUCACACAUAAGAUAACUGAAAAUUCAAAUACGACGAAUACAUUUUAAAGAAGGCUAAAACCCUGACAAGUGGACAGUUGUAGUAGAGACUCAUUUACCCCCCUGGGAAAGCAAAAUGUUUUUUGCUGCUUCCCAGAAUGUGCGGCUUUUAGUCCUCUGUUAGUGAAAAUAACUACAAAAGUGCCUUAUAUUAGGCAAGAUUGCUUGGUAAAAAUGUGCCUUAAGAGGCUAAAUUGCAUUGGAGCGUGUGCAGAUUAGAAGAAAUUCACACUUAAACACUGAUGAAUUUUCAUGAGGAGUUUUUAAAAAUGUAUCACAGCCGUGUCAAAACCCAGAGAACUGAAUUUGGGGCUUAGAGAAAUGGGAAGCAGAGAGAAAUUAGGAAGAAACUUCAGGAUCAGGCCAAAGUGGGUCCAUCAGACCAGAAUCCUGUUCUCACAGUGGACAAAUACCCCUCAGAACCUAGGAAUCAGAUAGAGGUUCCAGAACAUCAGAAGAUGCUGACUGCCGGAUGAGGCCAACAGCCCAUCUAGUCCAAUACAGUGGUGCCCCGCAAGACGAAUGCCUCGCAAGACGGAAAACUCGCUAGACGAAAGGGUUUUCCGUUUUGGAGGUGCCUCGCAAAACGAAUCUGCUAUGGGCUUGCUUUGCAAGACGAAAAUGUCUUGCGAGUUCCUGGGUUUUUUUUUUCCUUUUCCCCCUCUUUUUCUAAGUCGCUAAGCCGCUUAUCUGCUUAUCCGAUAAGCUGAUAAGCUGCUAAAAGCCGCUAAAAGCCGCUAAAAGCCGCUAAAAGCCGCUAAUAGCGCUAAUCCGCUAAUCCCGUCAAUGGGCUUGCUUCGCAAGACGAAAAAACCGCUAGACGAAGAGACUCCCAGAACGGAUUCUUUUCGUCUUGCGAGGCACCACUGUAUCCUUUUUUUUUUUUUUAAAUAUUUUUUAUUAUUAAUUUCAACAUCACAUUUUAUCAAAAAAACCACAUAUCAUCCUUAAAUCCCCCCUAUUUUUUCCUCCCCCCUCCCUACAAACAUGAACCCCCCUCCCCCCACAUACUUCCCUCAGCUCCUCUCUCUGGUUUAUCAACAUACAGUGGUGCCUCGCAAGACGAAAAGAAUCCGUUCUGGGAGUCUCUUCGUCUAGCGGUUUUUUCGUCUUGCGAAGCAAGCCCAUUGACGGGAUUAGCGGAUUAGCGCUAUUAGCGCUAUUAGCGGCUUUUAGCGGCUUUAGCGGCUUUUAGCAGCUUAUCAGCUUAUCGGAUAAGCAGAUAAGCGGCUUAGCAACUUAGAAAAAGAGGGAAAAGGAAAAAAACCCAGGAACUCGCAAGACAUUUUCGUCUUGCAAAGCAAGCCCAUAGCAGAUUCGUUUUGCGAGGCACCUCCAAAACGGAAAACUCUUUCGUCUAGCGAGUUUUCCGUCUUGCGAGGCAUUCGUCUUGCGGGGCACCACUGUAUGUUAUUUUCUGCACGUUACAAAACUGUACAGAUCCUUAAUUUAUCUAUCUGAAUGUUAUCAAUAAAAAGUUUGUGAAUGUUUAUUCAAGGAGUCCAGUUCAUUUUGUUGUUUCUUUGAAAUACUUUGUAAAGGGUUCCCGUUCAUAUUUAAAAUCACAGUUAUCCUUGUCAUGUAGUUUGUCUGUCAAUUUUGCCAGUUCUGCCUAGUCCAUCAAUUUCUCAGCCUCAUGGGCUGUUGUUGUUUAGUCGUUUAGUCGUGUCCGACUCAUCGUGACCCCCUGGACCAGAGCACGCCAGGCCCUCCUGUCUUCCACUGGUCAAACUCAUGUUUGUAGCUUCAAGAACACUGUCCCACCAUCUCGUCCUCUGUCGUCCCCUUCUCCUUGUGCCCUCCAUCUUUCCCAACAUCAGGGUCCUCCAGAAGGUCCGGCUAGGGGCACGGAAGUGGUAAGGACCACGGGAUGGGUUGGCAUUCAUAUCAUAUGCUUACGCAGGAAAGCAAGGUACUUCAGUUUGUUACGGUAGAAGUUGCCAGGUAUGUUGAUCCCUUCACCUCGCACGACUACCACUUUGCGCCCCAGCAAGACUUGCUUAGCCACAAUGGCAGCCAGACGACCCAGCAGGUGGCCACGUCCAUCAAUCACCAAUACCUUUGGCUCCACCAUGGCUGCUCCUCGGUGGCUGAAUGAAAAAGAGGCUCCGCCCAGCUCCCCAUCCAAGUCAUUUAUAAAGAAGUUGGACAACGAUGGGCCCAGGACAGAACCCUAUUCGUCACUUUUCUCCAGGAUGACGAAGAACCAUUAAGGAGUACUCUUUGAGUUCCGACAGUCAACCAGCUACAAAUCCGCCUAACCAUAACCUCAUCCAGUCCACAUUUUACCAGCGUCUCCGCAAUAUCAUGGGGGUCUUAAAAUGUAGAGAAGGGGAGGGAAUGCUGUGGAGCUGGAGGGGUGAUAAGCAAGGCAGGGAAUCUGAAACAACCCAUUAGAUCUUUGGCAGAGGGGGCCACUCAUUAAAAUGCUCCUUUAAGGAGGAGGAAGAAAUAAUAAUCCCGGCUUGGAAGAAUUUAUGCCAGUAUAGUACCUUUCUACUUUUUUGCAUAAUUGGCCCUCAGUUCUCCAAAGUGCAUGUGUUGAGUGCAGGAUUUGUGCAAUUUAUCCACUUCAGUGCGCUUUCAUUACCUAGGCAUUUUUAAUAAAUAAAUGAAAACACCAAAAAAACAACAAUACCAGCGCCCCCCAAAACUCUUUCCUUGCACAUGAGAAAUAUGUGCUUGGACACACACACACACACACGGAAAGCAAAACCAUUUACUUAAUCACAAGCUUGCGAGGCAGAACCUCCCAGAUGUGCCCCAUUAUCUAUGGGGUUAAUUCAUUCCAGUGAACAAGGCCAGGGAGAAGGAGGCGGAGGUUGGUGCCUAUUUAUGCUUACAGGAGUUGAAGGUGCUCAUUAAAUCUAUUUGCACUAUAAAUUGAAAUCCACAGGAGCUCUCCCUGGUCCUGAAACCUUCAAUAAUAAGAGCUCUUUAAUUUGCUGGGGAUUUUUUUUUGGGGGGGGUGAAGAGGAGGGGCGACAGUUUCUUGGCCAGUGCAAAUUUUGGGGAAAAAACAACACCCUGAGGUUUAGCGGGAGAGUUUCUCCCCAAGGCCCUACUUUCAAUGCUGAGGUUUUGUCACGGGUUCAAAAUCCUCCCCUUUCCCCAAGGGUUUUAAAAGAAAUGAUUGUGUUCAUUGCUUUAGCAAAGGUAAAGGUAAAGGGACCCCUGACCGUUAAGUCCAGUCAUGGCCGACUCUGGGGUUGCAGCGCUCAUCUCACUUUAUUGGCCGAAGGAGCCGGCGUACAGCUUCCGGGUCAUGUGGCCAGCAUGACUAAGCCGCUUCUGGCGAACCAGAGCAGCGCACGGAAACGCCGUUUAUCUUCCCACCGGAGUGGUACCUAUUUAUCUACUUGCACUUUGAUGUGCUUUCGAACUGCUAGGUUGGCAGGAGCAGGGACCGAGCAAUGGGAGCUCACCCCGUCGCGGGGAUUCGAACUGCCGACCUUCUGAUCAGCUAGUCCUAGGCUCUGUGGUUUAACCCACAGCGCCACCCGCGUCUUGCUUUAGUAAGAACAUCAAAAAGAGGUUUGCAGGAUCAGGCCAGUGGCCCACAAAACCCAGUAUCCUGUUCUCACAGUGGCCAAACAGAUACUCCAAUGGGAAAUCCAGAUCUAGGUCUUGAGUGGGACAGCAUAUCUCCCCAUCUGCGGGUCCCAACAGCUCACAUUCAGUGGAAUAUAGCUUCUGACAGGGCAGGGAGAACUCUACAGUUUAAGAAGGAUGUUGACAAGCUGGACCGUGUGCAGAGGAGGGCGAACAGGAUGAUGAAGGGUCUGGAAACCAAGCCUGAUGAGGAAUGGUUGAGGGUGUUGAGCUGGGUAAGCUUAGUAAAGAGGAGACCGAGAGGAGAUAUGAUAGCCAUCUUCACAAAUAUCUCAAGGGCUGCCGCAUGGAAGAUGGAGCAAGCUUGUUUUCUCCUGCUAUGAAGGGUAGGACUCGAACCCAUAGCUUCAAGUACAGGAAAGGAGAUUCCGACUCAACAUCAGGAAGAAUUUGCUGACAGGAAGAGCUGUUAGUGGGAUAGGUUUUCUUGGGAGGUGGUGAACUCUUCUUCCUUGGAGGUUUUUAAGCAGAGGUUUGGUACCCAUCUGUCAGGAGUGCACGCAGGAGCCAGGCCCUGGGACCAGUAGGACUUUGCAGGACUGGGGCCUUCCUAAGUUUGUUCUGGAGAGGCAAGGCACGGCCGCACAGGUGAGGCCGCUUGGUAACUCACUGCACCUGGUGGCAAGAGCCGGGAAGGGAUAUAAGGUCAGCAUUUCCCUUCGGCUCUUUGCCACAGCAACACGUUUCCUGCCUUGCUGCGUUUGGCUUCUUGCUUCCUGAUCCUCGGACCCCUGACUUCGUGACUCCUUGCUUCUCGACCCUUGGACCCUCGGCUUCUGGACUCUCAUUCCUGCUCCCAACCCGCCCUCUUGCCCCCGGUCCCGACGUCCUCAGCUGGGACUUCGAUCGCCCGUAGACCGGACUGUGACACCAUCAGUGUUAGAAACUGAGAUAUGAAAGCUAGGAGCUAAAUGGCACCUUAAACCCAGGUUAUGGGUGCAACACCGCAAUAUCUAGGCAGGCUUUUUUAUAAGAAGAAUACAAAGCUGAAAAUGAAGGAACUGCAGCUAAAAUAUUAUGUUCCUUUUUCACUUGGUCUAGUCCUUUCUGUGCCCACCUCCCCGAUAUUCUUAAGAGAGUCUCUUCUCCAGUCUUCAGAGAGUAGCUGGAAGUGGGGAGGCAGGAAAAGCUCCUCCUUUCCUUCCACUCUGCGUUUUUAAUCUGAAAUCUUAGGUUCAGUUCUGCGCCCAUAGUUCAGAAACUGCUCACGGUAAUGAAAUACCCUGUCACAAAAUGUGCCUGGAACAAUGGGAGUUUUGAACACUGUCUGUCGUGGAUGAGAUUCCUGCAUCGCAAGGGGGUUGGACUAGAUGGCCUCUGAGGUCCCUUCCAGCUCAACAAUUCCAUGACUCCAGGAAUGAUUCAGCUCCUCUCUCAGUUCCUCUGCCUCAAGUGACGCAAAAUGACUGCCUGCUUUAUAUUUUUUGAUUCUUGCACGUUGGUGGGACCGCUUGAAGGUGAAAAUGGAAAACGAGUCUCAUGGCAGCUCGGCGUGGCUGGAAGAUUUCGGCACCGUCAGGGGAGGGAAGGCAGAGCUUUUGUUCACAGGUGUUCACUCACAAAUGAGAUCUUGGCUGUGGAUUUUCGCUCGGGCUGAGAAGAUCCAGGCUUUGCAGAAGCAGCCUGGCCAUGGGGAAAUGUGCUUCUGCCACAAGAUGGUCACCAGACACAGUCUCUUUCUCUUUCUCACUUUCUCUCUCCCUCUUUUCCCCUCUGUCAGGUCAGGGGAGGAACUGUGCGCAUGAGAGGGGAGCAUUCCGAAAUUUUCCAAAAGGCUGCGCCGGUUCAGGAGUCAGCAAACUUUUCCAGCAGGGGGCCGGUCCACUGUCCCUCAGACCUUGUGGGGGGCCGGACUAUAUUUUGAAAAAUAAAUACCGUAUUUUUUGCUCUAUAAGACUCACUUUUUCCCUCCUAAAAAGUAAGGGGAAAUGUGUGUGGGUCUUAUGGAGUGAAUGCAGGCCGCGCAGCUAUCCCAGAAGCCAGAACAGCAAGAGGGAUCGCUGCUUUUUUGCUGCGCAGCAAUCCCUCUUGCUGUUCUGGCUUCUGGGAUUCAGAAUAUUUUUGUUGUUGUUUUCCUCCUCCAAAAGCUAGGUGCGUCUUGUGGUCUGGUGCGUCUUAUAGAGCGAAAAAUACGGUAAAUGAAUGAAUUCCUAUGCCCCACAAAUAACCCAGAGAUGCAUUUUAAAUAAAAGCACACAUUCUACUCAUGUAAAAACACCAGGCAGGCCCCAUAAAUAACCCAGAGAUGCACCAACUCUACAGAUUCUGUUAUUCCAUCGGCUUCUGCACAAAUGUAAUUUGUGCCAAAUGUAAUUAUUACUUUGGAGAGCUUUCUGGAUCAUGCCAGUGACCCACCCAGUCCAGCAGUGUUAAAAUGGGGCGCUCCUAUAGGAAGUGUGCAAGCAAUUUCUGAGCGCUAUAGAACACCCCCAAAGGCACUUUCUCGUUUCCCUGAAACCUCUUUGUUUUCCGCGAGUUGUAACUGUGCCACGUCCUCCGUUACUGCUGCAGAAACAUCUCUAUCCACCGGCUAACGAUCCAUGCAAAAUGUCAGCCAGACACAGUCGAUACAAAACCUUCCCCUGUUUAGGAGAGAGAUUUUUUCACUAAGUCUUUUUAUAGGCUGGGACGGCUCAGAGAGCAUCGCCAAAGAUGAAAGGCAAGCUGGGCAGAUUUGCAGUGUUUUUGGUCUAAGGUGUGCCCAAGAGAUCCCCCCACCAGGAAUAUCGCUGGUGUCGUUUCACUUGGGCCGGGAGAGACUGUCUGGAUUCAACGGUGGCAGUGGGGAAAACCCGGUAUUAACACCCAGAGGGGAAUGGACUCAGAACCUGGAAACCCAAUGGUUACAGAGAAGUCAAACGUAUGGCCUCAUUGCUCCACAGCACACCUCCAGACUUAAGGCUGUACUUCUGGACCAUGAGGAGCAAAUGAUGGUUGGUUCUGGGCAGCACAAUUUAAGAUGGAUGUUGAGAAGCUGGAAGGUGUGCAGAGGAGGCCAAACUAGAGGGUCUGGAAACCAAGCCAUAUGAGGAAUGGUUGAGGGAAUUGGGUAUUUGUGAUGGCCUGCGACUCGGGCUCAGAACAAGAGGAGACUCAGUCCACACCAGAUCCUUUGCCUCAUACAACAUACAACUUUCUUAUUCUGAUCCUAGGCCUGUUUGGUACUUUCAAGUGUUUUCUACUUCUCUUAUAUUACAAUAUUUAACUAAAUAAUCUUAAAAUUUCUUCCAGUCUUCUUGGUAUUCCUCUUCUUUCUGAUCGCAGAUUCUUUGUCUGCCAGCUCCAAAAACUCCAACAUCUUCAUCUGCCAUUCUUCUACCGUUGGUAUUUCUUGAGAUUUCCAAUUUUUAGCUAAUAGCAGUCUUGCCACUGUAGUGGCAUACAAAAAUAAUCUAACAUCUUCUUUGGGGCAAUUCCACUCCUAUUAUUCCAAGUAAAAAGGCUUCUGGUUUCUUUACAAAUGUAUUUUUCAACAUUUUUUUUAACUCGUUAUAAAUCAUUUCCCAGAAGCUUGAGUUGGAAUUGUGAUGGCCUGGGACUCAGGCUCGGACUCGGAACCAGAGGAGACUCAGUCUGCACCGGAUCAUUUGCCUCAGGCAUCAUCUGAACCAAGUCUGGGGCCUGAUCCUGAAGAGUCCCAGUCGGCACAGGUUCCCCUGCAACAAACACCAGCUGGGCCGAGUCCGGGGCCUGAGCCUGCCCUGGCUCCAGAUGCGGGGAUUCCCUUGUUGCCUCCAGCUGGGCCAUCACUUACAGCUGCUCCACUACUGGUUGGGUCAGGGGAGACUGAGGCGGCCCCUGGGUCUAGUAACCCACUGACGUCUCCCGAGCUGCAGAGACUGAGGUCUGAGAGAAGGGAGACCUGAGUACUCACAGGAGUGCUCGCCUUCGGGUGAAACAGGGAGGUGAGUCGUCGGGGGAUCAGGACCGGCCGUUACCCCGACAGAGAUAAAUGGCUGUCGGACCCUGCCCCAGGUUGCGGGAGCAACAUUGCUGUUUGCCAGAUCCUGUACCUGUCCUCACCUGGUGUCCUGCCUUGGCUCUGUCGGACUGACUCCUAGCGGAACCUCCAGAUUCUGGAGCGGUCCUGGACUAUGUUUCAAGGGUUACCCCCGGACCCAGCACACAAAUGCCGGUUGGUUCUGGGCACCACAAUUUAAGAAGGGUGUUGAGAAGCUGGAAGGUGUGCAGAGGAGACCAAACAAGAAGAUCGAGGGUCUGGAAACCAAGCCAUAUGAGGAACGGUUGAGGGAACUGGGUAUGUUCAGCUUGGAAAAUAGGAGAUUGAGAGGAGAUAUGCAUAGCAGAUGGCCAUCCAACCUCUGUGUGGGCCUAAAGGGCCUAAACGGCCUCGGCCCAGUAUACCUGAAGGAGCGUCUCCACCCCCAUCGUUCUGUCUGGACGCUGAGGUCCAGCGCCGAGGGCCUUCUGGCAGUUCCCUCAUUGCGAGAAGCAAAACUACAGGGAACCAGGCAGAGGGCCUUCUCGGUAGUGGCACCCGCCGUGUGGAACGCCCUCCCAUCAGAUGUCAAAGCAAUAAACAACUACCUGGCAUUCAGAAGACGUCUUAAGGCAGCCCCGUUCAGGGAAGUUUUUAAUGUGUGAUAUUUUAGUGUAUUUAUGGUUUCUAUGGAAGCUGCCCAGAGUGGCUGGGGAAACCCAGCCAGAUGGGCGGAGUACAAAUAAUAAAUUAUUAUUAUUAUUAUUAUUAUUAUUAUUAUUAUUAUGUGUGGUGGUCCCGUGGGCUAACCGGGAGGCGAGGUCCGAGUCCAGUCCAAGGUCGAAGGUGCAGUAUGGAGGCAGUCCAUAAAAGUUGAAGCUGGGUGCAGGUGAGGUCAGGAGCUCCGGCAGGAUUGCAGGACAGGGUUUAGGCAGGAACUGACAACCAACAAAGUUGCUCCCGCAACCUGGGAAUGGGGCUGACUGGCUUUUAUCUGCCCCGAGGCACAGGGCAGCCCCGGUCCUCAGGUGACUCGCCUCUCCUGGCACUCCUCCUGCGGGAACUUAGUUCCCUCCGUCUCUCUGCCCUGAGCCUCUGCAGCUCAGGAGAGGCUGGAGGGUGACCGGACCCAGAGGCAACCUCACCUUCCCCUGACGGGGCUGAGAGUGGAGCACCUGCAGGCAAUGGGUCCUCCACCACCUCCGGAGCCAGAGCAGACUCAGCUGGUGCCUGCACCUGAGGAUCCAGCACAGGUGAGGACCCUUCAGGCUCAGGCCCCAGCCCCGGCUCAGCUGGUUCUGGAGGCGGGGACUCCUGUGCAGGCUGGGAUCCCUCAGGUUCAGCCUCCGAGUCUGAAUCCCAGGCUGUCACACUCUGUCUAAAAACCUCCAAGGAAGGAGAGUCCGUUCCACCGUCAAACAGUUCUUAUCGCCAGAAAGUUCUUCCUGAUGUUGAGUCGGAAUCUCCUUUCUUGAAGCCGUUGACGCCAUAUGGGACAGCUGCAUAUUCCUGCAUCGCAGGGGGUUGGACUAGAUGACCCUGAGAGGUCCCUUCCAACUCUUGGGUUCUGUGAGGUAGACCUUUGGCUUUCUCCAGCAGGGUUUUCCUUUGAUGUUCCUGCCAGCUUGCUUUCCAACUUUCCUGCUUGCAUCUGCCGCCAGCCAACUGGCUCCCUCCCCGCUGAUCUGCUGCCUCCUCGCCUUGCCUCUUGCUCCCUUUGGAAGAAUCCCUGACCGUCCCAUGACCCAGCCUCUGCCCAGCUGUUUCCUGAUCCGUGCCAAUCCCAGAUCCCACCGGCCCAUCUCGCGCCUGCCUUUGCCUCCGCUGCCGGUGACCCGUCACUGACGGGUGAAGACGGCCUUUCUGCUCUCUCUGCUGUUCAAAGGCUGCACGAUGUCCUCUCCUCACCCAUCCACCUCCUGCUUUUUUUUAAAAA
This is a non-coding RNA of Podarcis lilfordi (Lilford's wall lizard), 11715 nucleotides long. The record is from the annotation of a GenBank genome assembly. NCBI's taxonomy places the organism in Eukaryota, Metazoa, Chordata, Lepidosauria, Squamata, Lacertidae.